AUGAGGUUGUGGCGCCCGGCGGGAGGCGGCCGCCAGACUGACAUCAGGCCUGCACCAGCCGGCAGCUCGCUCCGCCUGCCCGCGUCCCCGCGGCCCGGAUGGGCCAGCAGCCUGCAGCCCGGCCCCUGGGGAGCCCCCGCCGGCCACUGCUCUCAAGACUGGGACAGCUGCCUCUUCCCGCCCCCAGGCCUCCAAGGAGCCCUCCCAGAGGCCGCGGAAGCCCCGCCUGCUUCAGCAGGCCUGCGCACCUGGCUGAUGGCACCUGCAGAGAGCCUUAAGCGGACCCAGCCCCAGGCCGGGCCCCGGAAGCCUCUUCAGCCGCCCAGGCCCCCAGGACUGCCCCAAAGGAGUCACCUGGGGUCGGCAGAGGAGCCUGCCCAGGAGCACAGGGCCCCCGAGUGGCAGAGCCGGACGGUGGAGCCAGCUUGCUGGGUCCUGAAGCUGGGCCCUCAGGACUGCGUCUCCGGUGACAGCGCAGACGGCUGUGAUGAUGGGGCAUGCCGCGUCUCUGCUGGCCAGGGAGCCGCUCGUGGCCGCAGAGCACGCGGAUGGCGGCUUGUGGAACUCGAGUGGCGAGGGAGCUUAACUGUUCAUUUACUUCGCUUUAGUUAACUUUAAGCGGCCACGCGUGGCUAGCGGCCCCCGAGCAGGACGGCGCGGGCCUAAGCUCCGGCACUAUGGGAGAAGCAUCUCAACUCCAGUUUUGCUGCCAGGAGUGAGCAGUCACCCCGGGGGGUGAGGGGCACGUGUCAGCCCUGGGGUAAUGCUUUCUGUCAGCAGGAAGUCAAGGCCAAGAUGGGCCAGGGCUGGUCUGGAGGGAGCCACCUGAGCCCUGGUCCCUAACAGCCAUCCUGAGUCACCGCCUUCUUAACCUGGAGACGGCCUCACAGCGCUGCGUCCAGCCACUCGGAUAAGCUCAGACGGAAUCAAACCAUUCCAGCUGAACCCAACACGGGAGUUUGGCCUGAGAGUUUGUUUUGACAGAAAGACUCACGGACUUAGAGAAUUAACUUACGUGUGAGCUCACCCGAAACUAUGGCAGCAUUGUUAACGGGCUCUACCCCGACGCAGAAUAAGAAGUUUAAAAACAGUUUGUGCUGAGUGGUAACCAUGACGACGAGCGACCUGGAAGCUCACGCUAGGCGCUGCUUGCUGUGCGUCACCGAUGUCCGUUCCUCUCGUUUCGCAGGAAUGCAUGUGAGGCAGGCAGUGUGGUCCUCACUCUAAGGUGGGAAACUGAGCCUCUUGAUGUCUUAAUGGCUCCACGCGGCUCAUCCGAGGGAGCUGGGACCUGCAGCCUGGGCUGUCCGCCCGCAGAGUCUGCGUUCUUCCCACCAGGCCUUCACCAACGGCGCAGCUUCGCUGUCACAAGGCCACUGAGUCUGCUCGACUACUCUCCCGCCCAUGGUUUCAGAAAGAGAGAAAGAGCACUCAGCAUAGACAGAGUCAGAGACACAAGUUCAAGUCUUCGUCCUGGAGAAAUCGUAACACCCAGCACCAAGGCGUCUCCACUACAGGACACGGGAGAAGGCCCUGGGUAAUUUCGAAAGGUGACGUCGAGAACGGAUGUGGGUAUUUGCGGGUGAAGGCAGACGGCUUUAGAAUGGAUCUGGAAAUAUUUUAUGACAUACUAAAAGCCACGGUGGGGGUGGAAAUAUGAGCCUGUUUUGCACAUUACCAAACACAGUGAACUUAUUUUUUCAUCUCAUUUCAUUUUAAGUAAGUUAAAUAGCUACAUGUGAUUAGUAGCCCCUGAACAGGACAGCAUAGGUCUGAGCCACUGGCUCCACUGGAGAUGCUGGUCUGGACUCGGGCUUCUGUUGAGCAGCUGCCAAGCCACCAGUCCUGGCUUCCUGGGUGGAGAAGCGGGGCUCUGACAGUCACCUUCACGCCCACCCUGACUGUCCCAGGGAAGCAGAGAGACCAGGAGCCCCUAAGGAGGGAAGAGGCCGGUGCCUGUGGCUGGACAGGCCUUCCCAGGCUUGGCUACAGACCACCCCCCUGCCCUGCACGCUGGAGUAUCUCCUCUGCACCCAGGCCUCUGCAGAAUGCUUGAGGACAAGUGCAUGUCCUAUUAUGACCGUCUUACAGGUGAGAAAAGUGAGGUUCAGAAUAGGCAGUUAGCUUGCCCCAGAUCACCUGACCAGCAAGCGCCAGAGCUGCCAUCUACCUGCAAAGUCUUGUCCUGGACCCCAGCUCUGCUGCCCUCACACCAGGCGGGGGGAGGGAAGACACCCCCCGCCCCAGGCGAGGGAAGCAAGUGGGCAUGGCAGGAGAUGAGGCUGGGGGCCUCCACCUGCCCUGGCCCUUCUGGCUGCCGGCCACGGCCAUGCCCCACCCACCCUGCGCCCACCCAGGGCCACCCCUCCCCGCUGCUGCCUGGCAGGAAAAUCUGAUUCUCCCUGCGGGCAAACACUCCUCCUGGGGCCUCCCCAAAGGUUUCAGAUAAUGAAAGAGCCAUAAAGAAGCAAUAAGAGGCCAAUUAUCUCACCCUUAUCUGAGCUUCCUGCAUGUCUAAUGCCUCUCAGCUUGCAGGUGCAGAAAGGCCAGCUACUAAGACGACACCGUCUUACAAGGUGAGGCCACUGUCACCUGCAGGCCAAGGAGAGGAGCCAAGUCCACAGAGAGAAACCGAGGAGGAAGGCUGGGCAGAAAGGAGGAGGCGGGACGGGUAAGAGCCGUCUCCCAGGCCCCUGAUGGCAGCGUUCAGACUUAGGAGGACACCGCGGAGCUCAAGGCACCUUCUGAGCCCAUCUCCUCUCUCUCCAGGGACAAGCCCGGGACGAGGGGAGUGAGUGUCCUGUGACAGCAGGGACCUGCUUUGUCCUGGCCACCCCGUUCCGUCAGCCCCUUCGCUCAGGGGACACUCAGUGAUGACGGAUGCCCCUGCCCCCCCAGCCUAUUUUAUGCAUUUAUUUAUUAUUUUUAAAAUCUAUCUGGCUGCACCAGGCCUUAAUUGGGGCACCGGGCAUUGAAGAUCUUUAGUUGUGGCAUGGGGCUCUAGUUCCCUGACCAGGGAUGGAACCCAGGCCCCCUGCAUUAACCAGGCUUACCCACUGGACCA
RNAcentral lists this long non-coding RNA (3064 nucleotides) under Capra hircus (goat). RNAcentral describes it as "lncRNA (ENSCHIG00010024625.1)". The record is from RNAcentral. Lineage: Eukaryota; Metazoa; Chordata; Mammalia; Artiodactyla; Bovidae.